This 531-nucleotide non-coding RNA is filed under the name Uncinaria sp. SAN-2011. Lineage: Eukaryota; Metazoa; Nematoda; Chromadorea; Rhabditida; Ancylostomatidae. The record is from RNAcentral.
GUUCCAGAAUAAUCGGCUAGACUUGUUAAAAUUUAAACUUUAUUUUGUUUUAAUUAUAAUUGUUUGUUUAGUUUUUAAAUAAUUAUAGGUUAAAUUUUAAUUAUUUUAUGUGUAUAAUUAUAAUUUUAAAUUUUGAAAAUCGAAUUAGAUUAGUACCUAAUUAGUCAAAAGUUAAAAGAGCAGGAGUAAAGUAAAAUUUAAACUGAAAGAAUAUUGGCAGAUUUUCUAAAUUAUCUUUGGAGGUUGAGUAAUAAUUGAGAACCCUCAUUAACUACUUUUUUAGUGGUCUCAUGUAUGAUCGUUUAUUAUAUGCUUAAGGUAUAUAAUUAAAAAUUAUUUAUUUAUAAAAAUAGAUAUAUAUUUGGUUUAUAUAAAAGUAAUAUUUGACCUACAAUAAUUUGUAAUUGUGAAUCUACUUUUUAGUAAAGUAGUGAAAAUGUAAAAGACAGUAAAAAAAUUUUUAUGGUUUUUUGAAGAUUAUUUAGAAGUGGUACAAAUCAUCCAUCAAUUGCCCAAAGGGGAGUAAGUUGA